Molecule: non-coding RNA, 209 nt
Organism: Paramuricea clavata
Lineage: Eukaryota; Metazoa; Cnidaria; Anthozoa; Malacalcyonacea; Plexauridae
Source: the annotation of a GenBank genome assembly
UUCAAUAUUGUUGACAGUUACGAACAAUGUGGGCAGCAAAACAUUGUUCAAUCCUGUUUUCAUCAGUAUUGCAUCAACCUGAGCGUUUUUACGCGUGUACACGGCAAAAAAUGCACAAGUUGUUCCAAGUUGAUAUCGACAGGCGCGAACAAUGUUGUGCGGCCAACUAUGAACAAGUUGUCAACCAUGUUGUUCCAAGUUGUUACAGU